This 254-nucleotide ribosomal RNA is filed under the name uncultured bacterium. Its description in RNAcentral is "partial 16S ribosomal RNA". It matches the Rfam family "Bacterial small subunit ribosomal RNA", at positions 1247 to 1500 of the family's 1533-position model. The record is from RNAcentral.
ACGCAAGCUCGCGAGAGUAAGCUAAUCUCUUAAAGCCGUUCUCAGUUCGGACUGUAGGCUGCAACUCGCCUACACGAAGUCGGAAUCGCUAGUAAUCGCGGAUCAGAAUGCCGCGGUGAAUACGUUCCCGGGUCUUGUACACACCGCCCGUCACACCAUGGGAGUCGGAAAUGCCCGAAGUCUGUGACCCAACCGGAAGGAAGGAGCAGCCGAAGGCAGGUCUGAUGACUGGGGUGAAGUCGUAACAAGGUACC